UUUCCCAAUUUUUUGAUUUUUUUUGAAUUUUUUAUGCCCGUUUCAAAAUGCGGUCAAAACGGCGGGAAUGACCGUUCCUAGCUAGUGGUUGAAUCUUGGAAUUUUGUUGGUGUUUCUCUGAUUAAAAAGAUACUUAUGUAACUAGAAAUGAUUUUUGGAAAAAAUAAAUAGCAAACUAUGAGGCAGCUGCAGUUCAAAUUUGACCCGCUUCCAGUUGAAUCGGCGGAAAUUUGUCUUUUUCACGAGAGGUGGAUCAAAACUUUUUACACCCAAAAAUUUUCUUAAUUUUGCAUUAAAUAUGUCAUAGUAUUUUAUAAAAUUGAUUUGGUCCAAUUUUGCAACAAUUAUUUGGGAAGUCCUUCACAAAAAAACCUCCUUUUGGGCACUCGAAAAAUGGAAAAUGGUUUUUUCGUCCAACGAAAAUGAAAACUUCCUUAGGCAACAUUGUUUGCCAUUCCAAUAUGCACCCUUGUGCACAAUAUGAGAUCAUUUGAACAAACUAUGCCAUGAAUGUGGCCAUAAGAUUGAUCAUUUGGCUUGAAAGCCAUUGAUCUCCACACGUGAUAGCUCGUUUCUGAGAACACUUUUUUAAAAUAAUUGCCGUAUUACAAGUUUGUUAUUUUUCUUGGGAACUUUGCCACAUAUGAUGACACAAUGCGAAGGUUUCCUAAUUUUUUGAUUUUUCUUAAAAAAUUUAUGCCCGUUUCAAAAUGCGGUCAAAAUGGUGGGAAUGACCGUUCCUAGCUAGUGGUUGAAUCUUGGAAUUUUUUUUGUGUUUCCCUGAUUAAAUAGAUACUUAUGUACCUAGAAAUGAUUUUUGGAAAAAAUAAAUAGCAAACUAUGAGGUAGCUGCAGUUCAAAUUUGACCCGCUUCCAACUGAAUCGGCGGAAAUUUGUCAUUUUCACGAGAGGUGGAUCAAAACUUUUUGCACCCAACCAUUUGGUCAAUUUUGCAUUAAAUAUGGCCUAGUAUUGUAUAAAAAUGAUUUGGUCCAAUUUUGCAACAAUUAUUUGGGAGGUCCUUCACAAAAAAACCUCCUUUUGGGCACUCAAAAAAUGAAAAAUGGUUUUUUUGUACAAAGAAAAUGAAAACUUCCUUAGGCAACAUUGUUUGCCAUUCCAAUAUGCACCCUUGUGCACAAUAUGAGAUCAUUUCAACAAACUAUGCCAUGAAUAUGGCCAUAAGAUUGAUCAUUUGGCUUGAAAGCCAUUGAUCUCCAUACAUGAUAGCUCGUUUCUGAGAACACUUUUUUAAAAUAAUUGCCGUAUUACAAGUUUGUUAUUUUUCCUGGGAACUUGGCCACAUAUAAUGACACAAUGCGAAGGUUUCCCAAUUUUUUGAUUUUUUUUAAAAAAAAUUAUGCCCGUUUCAAAAUGCGGUCAAAACGGCGGGAAUGACCGUUCCUAGCUAAUGGUUGAAUCUUGGAAUUUUUUUGGUGUUUCUCUGAUUAAAUAGAUACUUAUGUACCUAGAAAUGAUUUUUGGAAAAAAUAAAGAGCAAACUACAAGGCAGCUGCAGUUCAAAUUUGACCCGCUUCCAGCUGAAUCGGCGGAAAUUUGUCAUUUUCACGAGAGGUGGAUCAAAACUUUUUGCACCCAACCAUUUUGUCAAUUUUGCAUUAAAUAUGGCCUAGUAUUUUAUAAAAAUGAUUUGGUCCAAUUUUGCAACAAUUAUUUGGGAGGUCCUUCACAAAAAUGCCUCCUUUUGGGCACUCGAAAAAGGAAAAAUGGUUUUUUCGUACAAAGAAAAUGAAAACUUCCUUAGGCAAAAUUGUUUACCAUUCCAAUAUGCACCCUUGUGCAUAAUAUGAGAUCAUUUGAACAAACUAUGCCAUGAAUGUGGCCAUAAGAUUGAUCAUUUGGCUUGAAAGCCAUUGAUCUCCAUACAUGAUAGCUCAUUUCUGAGAACACUUUUUUAAAAUAAUUGUCGUAUUACAAGUUUGUUAUUUUUCCUGGGAACUUGGCCACAUAUAAUGAGACAAUGCGAAGGUUUCCCAAUUUUUUGAUUUUUUUCAAAUUUUUAUGCCCGUUUCAAAAUGCGGUCAAAACGGCAGGAAUGACUGUUCUUAGCUAGUGGUUGAAUCUUGGAUUUUUUUGGUGUUUCUCUGAUUAAAUAGAUACUUAUGUACCUAGAAAUGAUUUUUGGAAAAAAAUAAAGAGCAAACUACAAGGCAGCUACAGUUCAAAUUUGACCCACUUCCGAUUGAAUCGGCGGAAAUUUGUCUUUUUCACGAGAGGUGGAUCAAAUCUUUUUACACCCAACCAUUUGGUCAAUUGUGAAUUAAAUAUGUACUAGUAUUUUAUAAAAUUGAUUUGGUACAAUUUUGCAACAAAUAUAUGGUAGGUCCUUCACAAAAAAUCUCAUUUUGGGCACUCAAAAAAUGGAAAUUGUUUUUUCACGAGAGGUGGAUCAAAAGCUUUUGUCAUGCAACUAUUUGGUCAAUUUUAUAUAAAAUGUGG
RNAcentral lists this long non-coding RNA (2460 nucleotides) under Triticum aestivum (bread wheat). RNAcentral's name for it is "long non-coding RNA (TAES_LNC014904)". Lineage: Eukaryota; Viridiplantae; Streptophyta; Magnoliopsida; Poales; Poaceae. The record is from RNAcentral.